This 551-nucleotide ribosomal RNA is filed under the name Candidatus Pacearchaeota archaeon. Its description in RNAcentral is "bacterial SSU rRNA". It matches the Rfam family "Archaeal small subunit ribosomal RNA", at positions 894 to 1467 of the family's 1478-position model. Lineage: Archaea; Nanobdellati. The record is from RNAcentral.
UGUGCGGUUCAAUGAGAUUUUACACCGUGAACCUUACCAGGACCGACAGCAGAAUGAAGGUCAGUCUAAAGGGCUUACCUGACACGCUGAGAGGGGUUGCAUGGCCGACUUCAGCCUGUGUCUUGAGAUGACCUGUUAAAUCAGGUAACAGGCGAGACCCGCGUGCAUAGUUGCUAUCUGAAAAAGAGGCACUCUAUGCAGACUGCCUGGGUAACCAGGAGGAAGGUGCGGGCUACGUUAGGUAGUAUGACCCGAAUGCCCUGGGCAACACGCGCGCGGCAAUGCUGUAUGCAGAGGGAUGCGACUCCGAAAGGAGAAGCUAAUCCCUAAUAUACAGCCUAGUUCAGAUCGAGGUUUGUAACUCAGCCUCGUGACGAUGGAAUCCGUAGUAAUCGCACUUCAUCAGAGUGCGGUGAAUAAGUCCCGGUCCCUCGCACAUACUGUCCGUCAAACCAACCGAGUUUUGUAUUGAUGAGGCCCGUUGGGUCGAAUCUUUACGAGACAAGGCAGGUUAAGUCGUCGCAAGGUACCCGUAGGGGAACCUGCGGAUG